This is a long non-coding RNA of Anguilla anguilla (European eel), 617 nucleotides long. RefSeq lists it as uncharacterized. The transcript has 3 exons. The record is from RefSeq and is a predicted model, not a curated record. NCBI's taxonomy places the organism in Eukaryota, Metazoa, Chordata, Actinopteri, Anguilliformes, Anguillidae.
CUUGCCCCUUUGCCCUUCGCGACCCUGACCUGGAUUAAGCGGUUUAGAGAAUGGAUGGAUGGGUAUGUAAAUGCAAUUUUAUUAGGAGGUGAGGGCACUUUUUCCACAUUGUUUAUGCCCCCCCUCUACUAGUUUGAUUUUACUGCAGGAAUGAAAAACUCCUGGAUCACCAGGAUCACAUCAUUAUUUCAGAAAUGGUCUGUAAAUGUCAGUCUACCAAACAUCAAAUGGAGCAAAGACAACAUCGUCUGGCAAUGACAAAGGUGUCUGAGACCGGGGAUCCCCUACGAUGGAGAGAGAGAGCCGGAGCCUGCACGAUGUAUGCAGCUGAAAAGCGACCCGUACAAUUUCAUUUAUUUUGUCUUGUUUUAGUUUGUUUUUUCCCAGAUCCUGUGAGGAUGAUGGGCAAAGGUUUUUCAUUUGUAUUUUGCUAAUUGCUCUCUCUCUCUUGCUCUCAAUAAAACGCCGGAGAUAUCCGGAAUUUCCACAUCUCCCUGUGUCCAGCUCUUCUGUCCCUUCCAGGGUAGUCACGGCAUGUGACAUUAUCUCUCUCUGUAAAAAUACAACAUUUUGUGAAGCAUAUAAAUAGUAAUGCUAACACUUUAGACCUGGCUGAG